Molecule: long non-coding RNA, 418 nt
Filed under: Manihot esculenta (cassava)
Lineage: Eukaryota; Viridiplantae; Streptophyta; Magnoliopsida; Malpighiales; Euphorbiaceae
Description: long non-coding RNA (MESC_LNC008562)
Source: RNAcentral
UUUUUUUCUGAUUUUGGUAUAAAUUACAGGAUCUAUAAUAGUCACAAUUAAUUCAUAUUGGGUACUCUGAAUUUGCAAACUGUGGGGUUCACAUCAAAUGAAAAGAACAGGUGAGAAUUUCUACAGCAACUAUUUAUUCCUAAAAAAUAAAAAAGAUGAAUAGGAACAGAAUCUAAGUGCCGAACAAGCCUUGCGCUGUGCCAAAUGGCUUCAACCUCAAUUUUUCGAAACAAGCCUCUGAUGAAACAGAAAUCUGACCUGUCGGCUGUUCAAUGCAAGUCGGGGCAGAGAGAUAGUUGACGGAGAUUGCGGAAAUGGCGGCAAUAGUGUUUGACGGCGAAGAUUUCUCCUGUUAAUAUGAACUGACCGAGCAACGAAGGAGAGAAGGUAGUCAGGUGAGAGAUGGAGGAACGAGGCA